Molecule: long non-coding RNA, 258 nt
Filed under: Gossypium barbadense (sea-island cotton)
Lineage: Eukaryota; Viridiplantae; Streptophyta; Magnoliopsida; Malvales; Malvaceae
Description: long non-coding RNA (GBAR_LNC010783)
Source: RNAcentral
UUCAAUUUCACAAUUGACCACCGUUAGAUCAAACAUUCAAAUAUUAUGAAACACUUCAUUUACUAAAACAGUAACAAGUAUUAAAGAAGAUACCUAUGUCUUAUUUACAUGAACGAACUUACCGGACUAGUUUGCAAUAACGACUUGAAUACAGUGACUAAUCCUUAACCUUUUCCUUCCCAUGAUCGUCAACACGUUCUCGAUCUAAAAUGAUAAUAUCAUUAAAUUAACCAAAUCAAUAGAAAAAUUCAAUUUUUU